Molecule: long non-coding RNA, 1125 nt
Organism: Gallus gallus (chicken)
Lineage: Eukaryota; Metazoa; Chordata; Aves; Galliformes; Phasianidae
Exons: 3
Source: RefSeq, a predicted model, not a curated record
AGAGCUCAGUGAGCUGGUGCCCACAGUGCACAGUGACGGAGGUUCUCUGGGAGCAGUCCCGACUCCAGAGGUGUGCGGUCUCCUCUCAGCCUCUCCCCCUCCUUGCACGCUUUCCGGGCUGCUUUCCCAAGCAGGGGAUCACCCUGUGCACCGCUUGGGCUGAGCAGCCCUCUGUCCACCCCCAGCACUUCUACCCAGCUGGGGAACUGAGCCUGCGUGUGGCUGAGAGCCGCCACAGAAAGCACCUGGCCGUAGGCACAACGCUGUCACACACGGGACUUAGUUCUGCUUUCAGCCCCCUCCACCCCCAGCUUGCACCACGCUGAGAAAAACUCUUGCAAAAAAAAAACCAGAGCAAAGUGAAGGAAAAAGAGACUCCAGAUGCUGAAGAACAGAAAAAGAAAAAAAAAAAAAAAAAAAGAGCAAGAAGAGAGAGAAAAGGAGCAGCGAAUGCUGCUGUGCGUGUAAGAGACGCUGGAGAGGACAGGAGCAUCGUGGACCAGUGCGGCGUCCAGGCUGGGACAGUGGGCAAGGCGAGGUUGAGUUUUCCCAUAUUCUUCCUUUCACAUGCUGGAUCAUACACGAGCACCUGGCUGCCCCAGACACAGGACAGACCCAGCCCCACUGCUCCCGUGCAGUGGGUUCUUGCAGAGGAGGCUCAGCAAUGAAACAGCAAUGCGGUGGCAGCACGGAGGCUUCUGCCUCCCCCGGUAGUACAGGGAAUCUCAUAAUGAAAGUUGCCUUGGUGGAAGUCCCAGCUGGGCUCACACAGACCCUGGAGGCCCCGAGCCAAGGUUAUCAAUCACGGAUGCACUCCAGCUCCAGGUUUAUUUUCCUGGCUGUGUGGUCUUUGCUCUGCUCUGAAACUAUGUCUGCAUGAAGACAGUCCAGCCGUUACACAAGCUUCAAGAUAAACUCCUCACAAACCACGAUGAAAAUUGCGAGGAAAGGAGAUAAAGGGAAACAGCAAAUAAAUCACAUUGUAUUUUUUCCACCUGGCUGAGCUCCAUCCUUUAUCUCCCGUCUCUUCCCUCUUCCUCCCAGCUGCUCUGCAGCUCGGCCCCACAGCUCUGUGCUCAGCCCUCUCCUCUCACAGCAGUUCUUAUUCCAAUGGCUGGGAGGGGA